AACGAACGCUGGCGGCGCGCCUAAUACAUGCAAGUCGAGCGAGAAGACGUAGCAAUACGUUUGUAAAGCGGCGAACGGGUGAGGAAUACAUGGGUAACCUACCCUCGAGUGGGGAAUAACUAGCCGAAAGGUUAGCUAAUACCGCGUACGCUCCUUGGACUUCGGUUCAGGGAGGAAAGCGAGUACCGUGGGUAUCGCGCUCUUGGAUGGGCUCAU
Molecule: ribosomal RNA, 216 nt
Filed under: uncultured bacterium
Lineage: Bacteria
Description: partial 16S ribosomal RNA
Rfam family: Bacterial small subunit ribosomal RNA
Source: RNAcentral